CCUACGGGGGGCAGCAGUGAGGAAUAUUGGUCAAUGGACGAGAGUCUGAACCAGCCAAGUAGCGUGAAGGAUGACUGCCCUAUGGGUUGUAAACUUCUUUUAUAUGGGAAUAAAACGUUCCACGUGUGGGAUUUUGUAUGUACCAUAUGAAUAAGGAUCGGCUAACUCCGUGCCAGCAGCCGCGGUAAUACGGAGGAUCCGAGCGUUAUCCGGAUUUAUUGGGUUUAAAGGGAGCGUAGGUGGAUUGUUAAGUCAGUUGUGAAAGUGUGCGGCUCAACCGUAAAAUUGCAGUUGAAACUGGCAGUCUUGAGUACAGGAGAGGUGAGCGGAAUUCGUGGUGUAGCGGUGAAAUGCUUAGAUAUCACGAAGAACUCCGAUUGCGAAGGCAGUUCACUGGACUGCAACUGACACUGAGGCUCGAAAGUGUGGGUAUCAAACAGGAUUAGAUACCCUAGUAGUC
This 460-nucleotide ribosomal RNA is filed under the name uncultured bacterium. RNAcentral describes it as "partial 16S ribosomal RNA". It matches the Rfam family "Bacterial small subunit ribosomal RNA", at positions 338 to 795 of the family's 1533-position model. The record is from RNAcentral.